This 277-nucleotide unclassified non-coding RNA is filed under the name sea anemone metagenome. RNAcentral describes it as "partial contains small subunit ribosomal RNA and internal transcribed spacer 1". The stretch from base 1 to 158 matches the Rfam family "Eukaryotic small subunit ribosomal RNA", at positions 1678 to 1831 of the family's 1831-position model. The record is from RNAcentral.
GCUACUACCGAUUGAAUGGUUUAGUGAGGACUCCUGAUUGGCGCCGCCGCCCCGGCAACGGAGAAGCGGACUGCCGAAAAGUUGUUCAAACUUGAUCAUUUAGAGGAAGUAAAAGUCGUAACAAGGUUUCCGUAGGUGAACCUGCAGAAGGAUCACGCUCUGACGAGCGUCGUGUAGGGAACUAGUGUAGAUCUCGUUGUUCGCCUUAUCAUUUUAUUUAUCACUCUUUCUUUUCUCUUUUUCUCUCUUUUCUCUUCUUUUCUUUCUUUCUUUUUUU